RNAcentral lists this long non-coding RNA (2132 nucleotides) under Nicotiana benthamiana. RNAcentral's name for it is "long non-coding RNA (NBEN_LNC003393)". Lineage: Eukaryota; Viridiplantae; Streptophyta; Magnoliopsida; Solanales; Solanaceae. The record is from RNAcentral.
AAGGGAUUAUCACAUUUCAGUAUAAUUGUCUGAAAAUCAGUCAAAUUCUAAAGACAUUCUAUCGUCUUCCUCGUAUCUCCUCUGCAACUCCGCCGGCUCCGCCACUAGCGGUGAACGUCACUUACGCCAACGGCUACCAAAAUUACACCACCAAGUCUCCUUGUUCCCCUCUUUCCAUUCCUGUCACUGGUUUACCUCGAAUCUUGCUGGAGCCCAUCGAAUCUUCGUUGGAAGUUUUCCGGCGAAGUCGCAACCUUGUCCAAACCGGCCCAAAUUUGUAUCAAUCAACCCUCAGACCUUCCUCACUCCUAAUCCCUAACCGAAUCCUCUCGAAUAUCAGUUAAAUGGCUCGAAUUUUAAAAUUUAGGGUUUCGAAGACGGAGUUUUUUUGGGAGAUUUGAAGGUUUAAUUGGCUUCAAGUUGAUAUUAUGUGUUUAUUUCAUAUGAAAUAAACAUAUAACAUCCGCUCAAAGCCAAAUUUGGAGGCAAGUCGAUUUCGAAAUUGAGUUCAUAAGUUGCUCAUCUUUUUAUUUUAUUUUCUUUUUCUGUUCUCAUGAAUCCGGUUGGUUUAAUUGGUGCUUUGCUGUUAAGUGGUGUGUGUAGUUUCCGUGACAAUUUUGUUAAUUCUUAGUUUAGAUAAUUCUGUUUUAACGCUCAUUUUUCUGUUAGAUUAAUUUUUCAAAUGGUGGCUUAAUUGUUUCGAUUGAUUAAUUGUUAGUCUUUAGCAUGUUAUAGUUUAGUUCUGCCGAUAAUGGUCUUGGUUAGUUUAAUCUGUCUAGUUGUUGAUUGUUUGAUUAAAGAGCUUUUGAAUUAUAACCUUGUUUAAGUGAAUUGUUGGUUAUAGCUUGUAAUUAAUUAUGGGUAAAGGGAAUGGGGUCAGUCAACCAUGGUUCAAUCAGGGAUGGGUAGGUUAGUGAUUCGAGGAAUAAGCUAAGGGCAAUUUGUGUAAUUUAAGGGCUUGGAAUCUGUUAGGAACUGAAAUAAAAGCCUAGAACAUUCCAGAAUAGGCACCCAAGUAUAAUUUUAUGAUGGUUAGUAGACAAGCUUGGGUAGCAAGUUAAAAUAGACCUGAAAAUUCAAAUUCAAGUCAAAAAUCCUCUUAGAUUUUAGCUUUCUUCAUAUUGAAACAAAAAAUAAUACUAGAAACUUCAAAAAAUCCCCAAAACAGCUACUGUUUAAAUUUUGAAAGGAUUUUUAACUUUGAGCUACUGAUUUACAAUUCCUAGGUUCGACUUUGAUAAUUGAAGGUUUGAAAAGUAGUCUGGUUUAGUUUUGAGUAACUUUGGGUUCAACUAAACUGGUUUGCUUGAGUUUUGGGUUUUCUGAAGUAUUUUGUAGUAUCUCAAGUCUAUUUGGAUGCAUUUCAGUUGAUUUGUCGUUGGUUGCUUGGAUUUUGUUUGGUUUUAAAAACUCCCUGAAUAAUUGGACUGGUUCUGGCUGUUGUGAGCUCUCAUUACUUGUUGCUGACCUUCUCUUCCUAUGUUGUUAUUCAAAAAAUCAGGUACUUAUUCCUAUCCUGAUUGUGUUGGUGCUGAUUUUGACGUGGACAUGCAAUAAAAUGGAUCUCUCAUUUGCUCAUAGAAGUUAUGCCUGUCGAUUUGUGCUGUUUAGUCUACUUGUUUAGUGUAGUUUGAACUUUGAUGUUUAUACACAAGAAUUUUACUGUAUGACUGGGAAUGUUGGAACUACUAAUACGUAGAAUUCAUUCAGUAGUAUUGUGUGCUAGUGUAGUGUUCUACACAAUCAGAUUUCGUUGUUACUGAGAUUAGAUUUAUUCUAGAUUGUAUUGACCUUUUUGUUCUCAGCAGGCAUCAAAUGAUAACAAGUUCAAUGUGCUUGAGAAUGAUGGUUUAAUUUCAUUUUGGUCAAUAAGUUCAAUAGCUUCGAAUAGUUCAAAUGAGAAUCAGUAUGUUAGUUCAAUAUGGUUGAGUAAUCAGCACAUCUGCCUUUAAUUUUGAAGUUUGGCUUAGUUUAAUAUAUCAUUAAGUCACUAACGGAAUACUUCAUUAAGAUUUGGUUGUCAAUUUUUGGUUUAUUUGAAUAGCAAAGGGUCUUUAAUCUUUGUUCAUCACAAAUUAAGGUCCCACUGUAUAAAUAUUACCGAUUGUCUCUCAAUUAUUAGCAUUUUGACU